CUACGUGCCAGCAGCCGCGGUAAUACGUAGGUCCCAAGCGUUGUCCGGAUUUAUUGGGCGUAAAGCGAGCGCAGGCGGUUAGAUAAGUCUGAAGUUAAAGGCUGUGGCUUAACCAUAGUACGCUUUGGAAACUGUUUAACUUGAGUGCAAGAGGGGAGAGUGGAAUUCCAUGUGUAGCGGUGAAAUGCGUAGAUAUAUGGAGGAACACCGGUGGCGAAAGCGGCUCUCUGGCUUGUAACUGACGCUGAGGCUCGAAAGCGUGGGGAGCAAACAGGAUUAGAUACCCUGGUAGUCCACGCCGUAAACGAUGAGUGCUAGGUGUUAGACCCUUUCCGGGGUUUAGUGCCGCAGCUAACGCAUUAAGCACUCCGCCUGGGGAGUACGACCGCAAGGUUGAAACUCAAAGGAAUUGACGGGGGCCCGCACAAGCGGUGGAUUAUGUGGUUUAAUUCGAUGAUACGCGAGGAACCUUACCAAGGCUUAAAUGGGAAUUGACGAGCUUAGAAAUAGG
Molecule: ribosomal RNA, 511 nt
Filed under: uncultured bacterium
Lineage: Bacteria
Description: bacterial SSU rRNA
Rfam family: Bacterial small subunit ribosomal RNA
Source: RNAcentral